This 507-nucleotide non-coding RNA is filed under the name Pan troglodytes (chimpanzee). Lineage: Eukaryota; Metazoa; Chordata; Mammalia; Primates; Hominidae. The record is from RNAcentral.
UGCCACAAAAGACCUUUAAUGGCCUCCUAUUUAUUGUUCUUUUGUUCAUUUGUUAGAGUUGAAUGAACUAUAAUAACUUGUCUGACAUAAUAAGAAUGCCACAGGUAUAACAGAUAAACCUGGCAGGUGGUCCAGGAAUGAGAGUGUCACAAAAUAAUCACUCAACACAAGGGCCACACACCUGGAGAUUCUUCCCAGCCAUCCCUCACUCCUGCCCCAGGACACAACCCAUGCAGGCAGGGUUUUGUGCCAAGGGCUGGUCCAGGUCUCACUAAAGUGUCCAGGAUUCCUGGGGGAAUCCUGCCCUCAAAGGAGGGACUUUUGUCAUAAAAUCCUCCCUGAGUCUGUCUUUUAUAUGAGCCAAGAUUUCCAUCCAUCCGGCUCUGUGUAAAGAUGAAUUUAACCCUAGCCUCUCUCUCCAUCACACUGCUUCUCCUGCUGUGUCCCUUGGGCCUAGGCCAGGAAAGUGGGGUGCCAGAUAGGGGUGCAGACACAAGUCCUCAGUGG